RNAcentral lists this ribosomal RNA (412 nucleotides) under uncultured microorganism. RNAcentral's name for it is "bacterial SSU rRNA". It matches the Rfam family "Archaeal small subunit ribosomal RNA", at positions 330 to 739 of the family's 1478-position model. The record is from RNAcentral.
GCGCAGCAGGCGAGAAACCUCCGCAAUACACGAAAGUGUGACGGGGCCAUCCCGAGUGCCGUCCGCCGAGGACGGCUUUUCCCCAGUGUACAUAGCUGGGGGAAUAAGGAGAGGGCAAGCCUGGUGUCAGCCGCCGCGGUAAUACCAGCUCUCCGAGUGGUGGGGACGCUUAUUGGGCCUAAAGCAUCCGUAGCCGGCUAGGCAAGUCCUCCGUUAAAUCCAACGAUUCAAUCGUUGGGCUGCGGGGGAUACUGUCCAGCUUGGGGGCGGGAGAGGCCGACGGUAUUCCCCGGGGUAGGGGUGAAAUCCUAUAAUCCCCGGGAGGACCACCAGUGGCGAAGGCUGUCGGCUAGAACGCGCCCGACGGUGAGGGGAUGAAAAGCUGGGGGGAGCGAACCGGAUUAGAUACCCC